AUAAACAGAAUAUGUUUCUGAUAUUCUAAGUUUGAACUGCUUUUGCUUAUCAUGUUCUGGUCAUAAUCAUUUUCUACGGCGAUAGUAAGGUCGCUUUGGUGUCAUUUUUUUGAUACAUUCGUUUUACGUUGAUUAUUUCACUUUUAAUUUGAUUAAUAAAUAUAGAUUGUUCUAUUUGGCAAAUU
Molecule: unclassified non-coding RNA, 185 nt
Filed under: Neogregarinorida sp. OPPPC1
Lineage: Eukaryota; Apicomplexa; Conoidasida; Neogregarinorida
Description: ITS1
Source: RNAcentral